UAGGUUUAGGGUACAGGUUAGGGUACGACAAUGUGUUAGGCUUAGGGUACUUAUUAGGGUACAGAUUAGUGUUAGUGUAUGGGUUAGGAGUAGGUUAUGGUUCGGGUAAGGGUAAGGGUUAUAGUUAGGGUACGGGUUAGUGCUAGUGCACAGGUUAGUAUUAGGUUACGGGUUAGAGUAAGGGUUAGGGAACAGGUGAGCUUUAGGGACAGGUUAGUGUAUGACAACAACUUAGGGUUAGGGUACGGGUUAGUGUUAGUGUACAGGUGAGUAUUAGGUUACAGGUUAGGGAUCAGGCUUGGUUUAGGGUACUGUUAGGGUACAUGUUAGUGUUAGCAUAUGAAUUAGUAUUAGGGUACAGGUUGCUGUAAGGAUUAGGGUAACGGUUAUGGUUAGGGUUACGGUAAGGGUACGGUUUAGGGUACAGGUUAGUGUAUGACAACAGGUUAGGGUACAGGUUAGGAUGAGAGUAGGGGUUAGUGUAAGGUUUGGGCGGGGGGGUGGCCCUUUGCUGAACAUGCAAAGGACACAUUGAAAUAACAGUUUGGGCCUCAUGUUCUGUUAAAGGUGUUUGACCAGAGUGCACUUUCAACUGAAGCUAAAGAAGAAAUGUACAAACUGUAUCCUAAUGCCUGGAGGGCUCACCUGAAAACAGGAGGCAAUUUCCCUUACCUGUGCAGAAGUGCAGAGGUGAAUCUCUGUGUACAGGUAGGUCCUAGGUUGGAUCCCAGAGCACUUUGCACACAGAAUCUGGUUUGAAACAUAAAGGUUUCUUUUAUUUUUUGGUCGUCAAGUAAGAGAACUACAGAAUUCUCUGUAGGAAUGAAGCAUUGACUUGAUAUAUUGGUCCACAUUAGUAACGUACAGGAGAAUUCAAGCAUAUUAGAGUCACCUGAGGGGCUCUAUGCCCACUAUCCCUUUUCUAAGAACCACAGGCCUGAACUCACACACUGAAGCAGCCGUUUGGUACAAUGGGACGUUGGCUCCUGGACACAAUGAAUUCAGCCAGAGCGGGACACCAGACUUAAAUGGAGUCAAUCUGAAUCCCACGAAGGGACUUCUUGGUCUAAUUUUAAUGCAUUCAAACACACGCAC
This is a long non-coding RNA of Aethalodelphis obliquidens (Pacific white-sided dolphin), 1095 nucleotides long. RefSeq lists it as uncharacterized. Lineage: Eukaryota; Metazoa; Chordata; Mammalia; Artiodactyla; Delphinidae. The transcript has 3 exons. The record is from RefSeq and is a predicted model, not a curated record.